GCUGGCGGCGUGCUUAACACAUGCAAGUCGAACGGAAAGGCCCUGCUUUUGUGGGGUGCUCGAGUGGCGAACGGGUGAGUAACACGUGAGUAACCUGCCCUUGACUUUGGGAUAACUUCAGGAAACUGGGGCUAAUACCGGAUAGGAGCUCCUGCUGCAUGGUGGGGGUUGGAAAGUUUCGGCGGUUGGGGAUGGACUCGCGGCUUAUCAGCUUGUUGGUGGGGUAGUGGCUUACCAAGGCUUUGACGGGUAGCCGGCCUGAGAGGGUGACCGGCCACAUUGGGACUGAGAUACGGCCCAGACUCCUACGGGAGGCAGCAGUGGGGAAUAUUGCACAAUGGGCGGAAGCCUGAUGCAGCAACGCCGCGUGCGGGAUGACGGCCUUCGGGUUGUAAACCGCUUUCGCCUGUGACGAAGCGUGAGUGACGGUAAUGGGUAAAGAAGCACCGGCUAACUACGUGCCAGCAGCCGCGGUGAUACGUAGGGUGCGAGCGUUGUCCGGAUUUAUUGGGCGUAAAGGGCUCGUAGGUGGUUGAUCGCGUCGGAAGUGUAAUCUUGGGGCUUAACCCUGAGCGUGCUUUCGAUACGGGUUGACUUGAGGAAGGUAGGGGAGAAUGGAAUUCCUGGUGGAGCGGUGGAAUGCGCAGAUAUCAGGAGGGACACCAGUGGCGAAGGCGGUUCUCUGGGCCUUUCCUGACGCUGAGGAGCGAAAGCGUGGGGAGCGAACAGGCUUAGAUACCCUGGUAGUCCACGCUGUAAACGGUGGGUACUAGGUGUGGGGUCCAUUCCACGGGUUCCGUGCCGUAGCUAACGCUUUAAGUACCCCGCCUGGGGAGUACGGCCGCAAGGCUAAAACUCAAAGGAAUUGACGGGGCCCCGCACAAGCGGCGGAGCAUGCGGAUUAAUUCGAUGCAACGCGUAGAACCUUACCUGGGUUUGACAUGGAUCGGGAGUGCUCAGAGAUGGGUGUGCCUCUUUUGGGGUCGGUUCACAGGUGGUGCAUGGCUGUCGUCAGCUCGUGUCGUGAGAUGUUGGGUUAAGUCCCGCAACGAGCGCAACCCUUGUUCACUGUUGCCAGCACGUUAUGGUGGGGACUCAGUGGAGACCGCCGGGGUCAACUCGGAGGAAGGUGGGGAUGACGUCAAGUCAUCAUGCCCCUUAUGUCCAGGGCUUCACGCAUGCUACAAUGGCUGGUACAGAGAGUGGCGAGCCUGUGAGGGUGAGCGAAUCUCGGAAAGCCGGUCUCAGUUCGGAUUGGGGUCUGCAACUCGACCUCAUGAAGUCGGAGUCGCUAGUAAUCGCAGAUCAGCAACGCUGCGGUGAAUACGUUCCCGGGGCUUGUACACACCGCCCGUCAAGUCAUGAAAGUUGGUAACACCCGAAGCCGGUGGCCUAACCGUUGUGGGGGAGCCGUCGAAGGUGGGACUGGUGAUUAGG
RNAcentral lists this ribosomal RNA (1437 nucleotides) under uncultured organism. RNAcentral describes it as "16S ribosomal RNA". It matches the Rfam family "Bacterial small subunit ribosomal RNA". The record is from RNAcentral.